Molecule: long non-coding RNA, 2766 nt
Organism: Marmota monax (woodchuck)
Lineage: Eukaryota; Metazoa; Chordata; Mammalia; Rodentia; Sciuridae
Exons: 4
Source: RefSeq, a predicted model, not a curated record
AUCUUGGAUAAUCAUUUGUCAAGAGACGUUGUCACCUGCUAGAAUGUGAGCUCUGAGAGGGGACUCAGCCCUUUGUCCCCACAGCAAGUUUCUCAACUUCAGCACUUGGGGCCAGAUGAUUUCUUUACAAUGGGGACCUGCCCUGUGCACUAUGGGUUGUUUAACAGCACCCCUGCUCUCUCCCAGCAGAUGCCCAGAGCAACACUCGUCAAAUCGUGACAAUCCAAAAUACGUUUGGAUAUUGUCAAGUGUCCCCUGGGGAGCAAGAUCAAUGCUACUGGAAAAUUUCUAUCCUACAGCCAGACAAGGGCAGAUGCUGCUAAAUAACAAGAGGCCUGGCUCUCACUGGACUGCAACUCACUUCCAGUUAAGAUGCUUGCAGCUCACCCAGGUCAGAAGAGGAUUCCAAGGGAAUUAACCCCUUCUGAGCCCAAGGAAGAGGGCCUCAAACUUUCAAGCACAUCAGAAUCACAUGAGAACCUUGUUUAAAACUCAGGUUUUGGGCUCCCCGCUUGAGACUUAGAUUCUAGAGACAUUUUGAGCAGUGGUUCUAAAAGUAUGAUGCCCAGACUGACAGUAUCCACGUAACUUGAGAUCUUGGUAAAAAUGCAAAUUCUCAUGCCCCACCGCAGAUGUGCUGAAUCAGAAACUCUGGAGAGAAGGAAACUGAGACACAGGCUUUGUGACUUGCCCAAGAACAUGCAGCUAGCAAGUGGAAGAACAGGGACUCCCCCUGGAGCCCAUGUUUUUAACCACAAGGCCGUUUGGCUUCCCGGACAUUGUGCUCGGUGGCAAAGAACCAUUACGUGGCAGUUCCUCAAGAGAGUAUUCUGCAAUGGGAAGGAACAGACACAGAUGCACGCUGCAGAGUGGUCGACCCUUGAAACCAUCAUGCUAAGCGGAAGAAGACAGUCACCCAAGGCCAUGUGGUGUGUGGCUCUACUGACACAAAAUGUCCGGGAUAGGCAAAUCUAGCCACAGAAAGCAGACUAGAGGUAGCUUAGGGCUAGGGACAUGGGAGAAAAUGAGUGACUGUCAAUGUGUACAGAGCUUCUGCUAGGGGUGAAGAAAUGUUUUAAAUCGAUUGUGGUGUCGGUUGUAUACAUCUGUGAAGAUAGUAAAAUCCACUGAAUUGUGCACUAUAAAUGAGUCAAUGGCAUGGUAUUUGAACUAUAUUUCAAUACAGCUGUUAUAUCAUUAAAAAAUCUGGGGAUUGGCCGGACUCAGUGGUACACACCUAUAAUCCUAGAGGGUUGGCAGGCUGAGGCAGAAGGAUCACAAGUUCAAAGCCAGCCUCAGCAACCUAGAAAGGCCCUGAGCAACUUAGCAAGACCCUGUCUCAGAAAAAAAAAAAAAAGAGUAGGGGGGUGCAUAAAGUAAAAUAAAAAGGCUGGGGAUUCGGCUCAGUGGCUAAGCAUACCUGGGUUCAAUCCUUGGUACAAAAAAAAAAAAUCUCUGGGGAUUGAUUAUCUAAAAAUAACUAUAAUGCUUCUUUUCAUUGUGGUCCUGUAAUAAUUAGGUUAUCUACAUUGCUUAUUGCUCAAACCAGAACGCUAAAGGGGAAAGAGGAGGCUAUUGACAGUUACUGUGUGGUGAAAGGUGGAAACUGGACAUGCAGUCACUCUGUUAAUAAUAGACUCUGAGAACCUGCUGCUGCUCCAGAUGUGCAGAGGAAGAGGCUGGGGGAGGAGGCAGUCAAAACAAGCACACCAAACUGCCAAGAACGGAAGGGCAUUAUCUUUCUGAGGGGGAAACUUGGUCCUGCCUAUCAACUGCCUUUGAUUUUUAUAGACACUUUGCUCUAGCCUUCCCACUACACCAUUAGAAAUGUAUUCUAAUGAAAAUGAUCAUGAGUGUGUUAACAGUCUUGGAUACUAGGUAGAGGGCUUGGUUAAAUAAAGUACAGUGGAUUCAGAUGGAAUAGUAUUGGCCAUUAACUGUUGCUGCUCUCUAAGAAUAUAUGCAGCAAUAUGCAUAGAAUACUAAUUAUUUUUAAAAAAAUUAAUAUUUUAGUUGUAGUUGGACACAAUACCUUUAUUUUACUUAUUUAUUUUUAUGUGGUGUUGAGGAUCAAACCCAGGGCCUCACCUGUGCUAGGCGAGCACUCUGCCGCUGAGCCACAACUCCAGUCCCUAGAAUACUAAUUUUUAAAUGUUCUAGAUCUACUUUUAUAUAUCUACAGAAAAACAAUUUGAAUAUGUGCAAGUAGACUAUAGGUUUUCUUUUCCUCUAUUUUCUAGUUUCUGUAAAAGAAUAUGCAUUACUUAUGUAACAACAACAAUAAAAUUCUAUUUAUAGGGCUGCAAUUGUGGCUCAGUGGUAGAAUGCUUGCCUAGCAUUGCAAGCCACUGGGUUCGAUUCUCAGCACCACAUAUAAAUAAAUGAAUAAAAUAAAGAUCCAUCAAUAUCUUAAAAAAACUUAAAAAAAAUCUGUUUAUAAGAAAAUGGGUCCAUCCUAAAAUGAAGGAUUAUCACCCUAAUCUGGAGAAGCAGCUGAUUUAGGCAGGGCUCUGGCUCAAGGGUCUCAAUUGCUUCCAUUCAGGCUGUCUCUCUCCCUUUCUCUCCUGCAAACCAGCUGCCCGCUGCUAGUGUCCAUUGGAAGCUUAAGCUCACAGGCAGACCAGGCACCAGGCAGAAGCAUUCCCUGGAAGGUUGAAUUUUGGGAUAGGGGAUGGAUUCAGGAAGAGAGCUAAGACCAAAAGCCCCCUCACAGCACAGUGACACUACUCACUGUAAUACUUAAUAAACAUCUGUUGAAUGAGUGAG